This 7132-nucleotide long non-coding RNA is filed under the name Sus scrofa (pig). Its description in RNAcentral is "lncRNA (ENSSSCG00035071193.1)". Lineage: Eukaryota; Metazoa; Chordata; Mammalia; Artiodactyla; Suidae. The record is from RNAcentral.
AUUUAAAGAUGAAGAGGCACUGCAUAUGCAGCCAGCAUCACAAACUUCCAAAGAAAUGUUUCUAUGGCUGCCUCUGCCAUCACUAUAGUGUUUAAGGGCCACCAACCCAAUCAUUUAUGUUUAAUGUAUGCUGCAAAGACUUUUAGAAAAGUCAGCUUCUACUUCGAGUGUUAGGUGCACUAAUUCCUAGCAGAUCGUCACCAACACUGUUAUAAGCCCUCCUACAUCCCUUUUUCUUAAAAACAGAGUUGAGAUUCUUUCUCCCUGGCUGCCUUCUGCACUAACAUUACCUCUGACCAGGAAAGCUAGGCAAGUAAAAGUGGGAAGGCUCUCCAAGAAAAGUCCCUUGGUUCUUUUUCAGCUAUGAGAGAAGCACCCCAUUUUCAUGCUUGUUCCAUGAGAUUCUAAUAUAAUUAGAUAGGAUAACAGCAGUUUUCAUUCUGAGCUCAAGAACAGAGAAUAUCACAGUAGCAGUGUUCUUUCUCCAGUCUGACCAUCCUCACAUUCUUAUGCCCUACUGGUUCCGAAAUGAGAUCAAUUCUUAAAGAUACAAUUAUUAUUUUUUAAGGACAAGCUUAGGAAAUAUGUUUUGUGUAUAUGUGGUCAGGGUGUAAGGAGGUAUGUGGAGGAGUAGGUAGGUAAGUUUAACACUGGGACAGGUAGGAGUGUAAACACAUUGUUUCUCUUUAAUGGUACCUACUGAUUCUAGCCUAAAGGACAGUUGUUAUCAGUAAGAGAGUAUAUACUAUGCCAGAAUAGUAGACACUCAAUCCCACAGAUGUGAGUUUGAGAAGUGCCUUGAUAAGCUCUUUAUGGAGAGUAGGAUGCCGCAGGCCUCAGAGAGUGUACACACACACCUGGCAGGGAAUGUCCACAGAACUGGAAGAAGCCUUAGAGUCCAUCUGAUCCAAAUGCCUCACUUUACAGAAGAAACUGAUGUCUACAGUGUGACCUGUCUCAGAAACACAGAACUACUCAGGGACGGAGCCAGGGUUCCCUGUGUUCUUGGGGUAUCCUCUCUGGUUUCUCCUACUGGUAGGCAAAGAUGAGAAGAGAGAUUCCAAAAGAAGCCUUGGGGCAGCAGGUGUUAAUUUGUAUAUAAAACCCCUGUUAAAAAAAAGGAAGUAGAAAGGUUCAAAGUUCGUGUUAAUAAAUACAAGCAGUAAGAAGCCAAGGGAAAGGAGGGAGGUGAAAGUCAAUACAGUUCAACUAGGCUACAACAAUAGAAGGGAGAUGAUAAAGGGAGGAUAAAGAAAAAAAAAAAUGUACUUAAAGGUCCUCUGGGUGGCAAAGCUCACUCUCUGCCUAAAAGGUUGAGUGGUGCCCUGGAAAGAGUAUAUGCUCUCUAGUCAAAGCCAUUUAGAUCUGAGCCAUUAACUUCACAAGUGACCUCUUCUCAGUAUCUUCCAACUAAGCGUUCUGCAUUCCCUAGACCUCCCCAGCUAGCAAGAUCCCUUUCAAAACUCAAAGUGCCUCAAUGCCUUUAAAAUAUCUGCCUCCCCCAAACAUCACAGAAAGUCACUGUGGGCUGUAAGCUUCUGCUUACCUGCUUUAUUUACCUUCACACCAUGCAUUACUACAUGACAUUAAAAUACACAUUAACAGCUUAUUUAUUAUCUGUCUCCCGGACUGUAAACUCCUUGAGGGUCAGUUUUGCUCCCAGACUUAUCCCUAGCACCUGGAAAAGUACCUAGCUAUAGUUAGUAGGAAUGUUACCAGACCAAGAAGGGAGCUGGAUAAAUACAAAAAUUACAACCUAGAAGCUUCUCAUUUGGUAAGAAAAGAGUAUUUCUGGUAAGAAUAGGCUAGGAAGGGCCUAGAUUUUGUUUAAGAGCCCAAAACAAAUCUCUGCUGCUAUUUGAAGUAACCACAUAUAAUUGACUUACAAACACAAAAACCAGAAAACAAAUUAGGCUCAGAUGAAGAUAAGGCAGUGAAAUAUGCUCCUAGUGUACAGUAUAUGUUGUGUAGGCAGACUUUAAGUCAGAUGCUUCUUUGUCUGCCCACCUCCACCUACUUCAAUCUAACUUCCUCCUCAAAAUAACGAGAAUAAAGGUGGUGAAAGAGUACCAGGUGAAUUGCUCCGGGGCAUGGAAUGGAUGCAAAGCAAAAUAUGAAAGAGCAGAGUGUAGUGCUUUUGUCCUUAAUGAAGGGUAUUCCUCUGUUUUUCCCUAAUCUCUGUGCCUUAGCUGAAGACCUGGAAGUUGCAGUCAUAGGACCCAAACCGUUUGUCCUUGCCGUAACUAGAAGUCAGCAGACUGCCCUUUCCCAGUUUCAAAGUUAGGUAAUUAAUGCCAGUGUCAACCUGCCAGCCUAGAGCUUGUAACUCCUUAUCAGCACCAAACAUUUAAUGAGUGUCUACUCAUCAGUGUGUUAAGUAUAGGUAGGACAACAAGCCUAGCAACUAUGUUCUCUGAACAUUACACCAUGUCACUUAACAUAGCUACACCUACCAUCUUCAUAAACAAGGACUAAGAUCAUCAGCAGCUCUCAUAGAAUGGUUUCAAUCAUUGUCCUGUCCAGCUCUUUUUUAGUGAACUGAUAAAGCAAUGUAGACAAUACAGGUCAGCUGUACAUGGAAAGUAACGUAAACAAUGAAGGACUUUUUUUUUUUUUUUAAUACAACAGAAUGUAGUCAAUCUCCAAGUUUGUUUACUAGUGACACUAAUUGGUAUGGACAAAUAGUGUUAUCUCAGUUCUUAAAUCAAGUUCUGCUCUUCUUGGCUCUGCCAUCCAUUCACUGGGUAAAGCCUCUUAUAGCACUGGCUUGCAUAAACCUAAAAAAAGGAAACAAUGUCAUCCACUAUAACUAUCUCUCAAUACUGGGUGAGGACAAAAUAGCACCAUAACCCCUGAGGACAGAAUAGUGUGAGGGAACUCCAUAGAGCCAAAUACUAUCUAAAAAUACGAGCAACUGAUCAUAUCAUUACAGAGACAAAUCAGCUAAAGAAAAUGGGAAGAAUGUGAGAGGAAAAGUCUACUCUAAACCAGGGGUAAAAUUCACAUAACUAGCCCUUGAACCUGUGAGAGCUCCAAAAGAUCCUACCAAGAGCAGUCUCAAAGAUGAGGUCAGCCCUUCAAGAUGGGUGGCUCUGAUAGAAGCACAUGUGCUAGAUUUAUCAUAUCUCAUGGCCCACUAGUCUUGGAACAAAAGUUUAAAGGUGAAUUAAGUUUUUUUUCUUCUCUUUUCAAAAUUCUUUUUUAAGUGAAUCAAAACAAAAACAAAUCUCUGAGCAGAAGUCAUAAGAGGAAUGUAAAACAUUCAUCAUAUUUGGGCUGACAAGUCUUAGUGACUGCUGCUGUUACAUUUGAAGAAAAGGAAGGAGCUGCCGGACCUAAGAGCUUGGGGAGAGCAUGAGAAAGUUCUUUCUUGCUGAAGACAAAGGGCCUGCAGUGAGAUUCUGUGGAAAUCCCUUAGCCUUGGCUUGUUAAGUCAAUUAAUUGGGAAUGGCGGAGGAGGUGAAUCACUCUGGAGUUUUGAGAAAAAUAAUCCUCUGCUGCUAAUGUGAAGAUUAUCUAUUUUUUUAAAAAAUCAAUUAAUUUAUUAUCAAGAUAAAGACACUUUAUAUUAAAAGAAAUACAUUAUGUUUGAGGUUCCACAUUACCCUUCAGGCAUUCAUACAGCUACUAUAUGGGGCAGGCUGAGAUCUUUCAGAUAAAGAUGAGAACAGCUCUAUUAAGUGAUUGGGGUUCUCCCCUAAAAUUCUGCUGGGCUGAGCAAAGAUGCAAAGAAUCACGGGCAGAGUUAAGAUUCUCUGGCUAGUUUUCCCCCAUCUGGACUUUAUUUAAAUUUGUCUCUAAGUGAAUUCACUUCACUGAAUGGUUCUCCCUCCUCAAAAGUGACAUGAACAAAAGGAAAAAAAAAAACUCUACUUCUCCUUCUUCUGCUAAUAAUAAGGGUAAAUUCUGAGAACUUUAGGUAUCAUUCAGUCUAAGAGAGGAUUAUGGUCCCCUAAGAAAUGGGUCUUCUCACCUCUCAAUCAUCUGAUUGUCAAGUAUGUACCUAGUUCAGACCCAUGUGGAAGAUAGAGAGGUAUUAAAUUCUUUAAGGAGCUUACAGUUAGUCCAAGAGCAGAACUAAUAAAACAAACUAAAAAGUGGUAUAAAAUAAUACAAAGUAUUUGUGUCGCAAAACUGUAAGGGCUGUGGGGACUCAGAAAGAGGGAACCGGAGUUCCCAUUGCGGCUCAGCGGAAAACAAAUCCAACUAGGAACCAUGAGGUUGCAGGUUUGAUCCCUGGCCUCACUCAGUGGGUUAAGGAUCUGGUGUUGCCUUGAGCUGUGGUGGAGGUCGCAGAUGCGGCUGUAGCUCCAAUUUGACCCGUAGCCUGGGAAACUCCAUAUGCCGUGGGUGCAGCCUUAAAAAAAAAAAAAGGAAAGAAAAGAAAGAAAGAAGGGGGAACCAGCCAGGGUAAGACAUAUUAGCGAAUAUUCAGGAAACGAUCUGAACUGAAAAGUAAAUGUAGCAUUCCAAAUAAGGAUGGCAGAUUUAUACCUUAGAAGUCUACUGUGAAAAGGGAAUCUGGGGUAAAAAGAGAAAGCCUUGAUUCAGCAUCAGAACACCCAAAGUCUGAUUUUUAAAUCCACUGUUUGGCUUUCAGAACAAUCUGGACUUCCAGAGUGAUUUCAGUCCUUAAAGGAAGAUUAAAAGUAAUGACAAAGCAGUUAGCACAAUGCCAGGCCCUCAGCAGACACUCAGUAAUGGUACUUGUUACUCUUCUAGAUAUUAUGCCAGUCUGCCCAUAAGAAUGGUGCUUCAUCAUCAUCUAAUGAUAUAGGGUUCUGACAGACUGAGGCACAAGGUGUUACCUCAGGGCCAAAGAGGAGAAGCUUUGUAGGAUGCAGUCCCAAAGAACUCAUGCUCUUUGAACCCAGCCAUAAAGUGAAGUAAAGAAUUAAGCUUACUGGAGAAAAUCCGUAUCUCUAGUGCUUAACCUCAGCUACUCUGAAGAGUGAGGUUAUCCUUUCCCUUGAUUUCCCUGUUAGAUUCUCAUAGAAUCUCCAUUAUGAGAAACCCACAUAAGCUUUCCUAAACAAGUUACCAAGGGGAGCAAAAGGCUUAAAAGCUAGCCUGGAAUUUCCCUGUUUUACCUUGAAAAUCCUACUAUGCCAGAGAGGCGCACAUAUGAAACAAGUAAGUAAGACAAAUCUUACAACAUGGGCUAAAUAGCUUAUAUUAGAUCCUAGCCAUAGACAAUAAAGAUACCCUUUCAGAAACUACUAAAUACUUCUUCCUAGGUACUCAUUUUUUCAGUUUAGUUGUACUUUCAAUUUAGCAUAAAUUGAAAACUUUAGUGUCAGACAUUAAAAAAGAUUUACUUCCAUACUUUUACAGCAGACUUAUAACCUUGAACUACAACACAUAAAGAACUCCCCCCAAAAAAAACAAUCCCGUGAAAUUCCAAUUAAGUAAGGUUCUCAUUAUAGUUAUUCACUACUGAGACUUGACAAGUCAUAAAAAUCUCUUCUGAUUGAAUGGAAUGAAUAUACACUUUUGACAUGUGAAUUUGUACACAGUGCUAUAUAAGAAAGAAGGGAGGGAAAGGACUUUAAAUGUUGGUGGUGCUUUUUAUUUUUUUACUCUGUGUAACCAAGAUUUGAGGAUCAUUAAAGGCUUUGUAAACCUUAAACACAAAAUUGUACUGCUUUCCCCACGUUGCAGCUGAGGUAACAGGGAGAUGAUGCAGGGUCACAGAGUUAAGUCAAUAACAGAUUUUUGGUUCAACAUUCCCUGUCCAUCAAAUAAAUACAUGGCUUUUCUGAAAGUGGCUUUUCUGUUGUUUGAAGUUUUGCUUUUUUGUUUCCAGUUGUGGAUGAGGGAACUUUAAAAGUGAUUAAAAUUUAGGGAUAGUGAAGUCAGUGCUUUUUUUCAACAAUACUUUUUCCAAUUACUGCAAACCUGAAAUACUUCGUCCUCUCCUAAAAUUCAAAUAUUCAAAAGUAAGGUAUGGUCAGAGCAAAAAUGGAUGGGUAUUCAUAUAGCACAUACGCAAAGUAUACUACAGUCUUUUCUUCAGUCCUGCCAUAAACAGAAUCUCAUAGAGACAAACAACGAAAUGGGUGAAACAUUUGCUCAUGGACAAAACCAGCUGCAGACAGACCCAAGGGCCAAGAAAAGUAAAGCAUUAUGUCAUUGCUCUCACCUCUAGCAGGCCUGUUAUAAACUAUUGUAACAACUUGAUAGAACUGCCCCUUACUACACAAGCUUAAUAUUCUCUAGAACAUACUCAUCUUAAAAGAACCCAACUCAGAGAAAAAUAGGAUUAAACUCUGUGUUCAUGCUUUCUGUCUUCUCAAUGCUUAGAAGAGGCAGAAAAGGAAAAUGUAAAACAAAUGCUCUUAACAGGGAAAAUGAAACAAGGUUAGAUGACCAAAACAAUUUUAAUUUUUACAAUGCAUGCAAGAGGACAUGCAGAACACAGACCACAAGACAAAUGCUCAUUUAUAUUCCAACAGAUUUUAGGAUAAAACUUUCCCACCUAUCUGCAAUCAGAUUUUAUGUAUGGCCAAAACUUUACUUCUCUAAAACAUCAUGGAGGAGACAGAAACCAAUCACGCUCAGGAACUAGGAAAAGUGAGUACAAGUAGAUGGAGGAUGCUCACUGUUUCAUGAUCUGUUUGCUCAGAAGGCAUCCAGGCCAAGCAUCAACCUUCAGCCUCCAACUGCCUUGACCUACAAAUAUUAUUUAAUGGUAGUAAAUGUUCCUGGGUCCUUGUCCUAUUAUUUACUGAUUUACUAUAGGUAAAAUAGACGGGGGGCAGGGUGGGGGGAAGAAGGAUGUUCUCUAGGGAUCAGAAUGUUUCACAUUUUUAUACUCUUGGCUCUUGUCUAGCUUGCUUUCAUGGCAAAUUGUGUGACUUCAGUAGUCAAAAUAAAACAUAAGCCUCUGUUGUUGUGGUUUCUAAAUUUCUGAAGUUUGAAUUUCCCACUAACAAGUUAGGAAACGUUUGGUUUCCCAAGCAUACCAUGUUAGCCACUGCCUCUGUGCAGGCAAACAGACUACAGGGAGGUGAAAACCAGUGAACUCAUCCACUCUGGCACAUAUGACUGCUCCCUGCUUUGGCCUUUUAUGUUAAAUCUAAAAACUGAACACCAGUGAAUUAAAGUAUGAAAGCCAAAUAAAAGAAGAAAG